UAAGGAAUAUUGCGCAAUGGGGGAAACCCUGACGCAGCAACGCCGCGUGGAGGAUGACACUUUUCGGAGCGUAAACUCCUUUUAUCAGAAAAGAAUAAUGACGGUACCUGAUGAAUAAGCACCGGCUAACUCCGUGCCAGCAGCCGCGGUAAUACGGGGGGUGCAAGCGUUACUCGGAAUCACUGGGCGUAAAGGACGCGUAGGCGGAUUAUCAAGUCUUUUGUGAAAUCUAGUGGCUUAACCACUAAACUGCUUAGGAAACUGAUAGUCUAGAGUAGGGGAGAGGUAGAUGGAAUUCUUGGUGUAGGGGUAAAAUCCGUAGAGAUCAAGAAGAAUACCCAUUGCGAAAGCGAUCUGCUGGAACCUAACUGACGCUGAGGCGUGAAAGCGUGGGUAGCAAACAGG
This 405-nucleotide ribosomal RNA is filed under the name bacterium. Its description in RNAcentral is "partial 16S ribosomal RNA". It matches the Rfam family "Bacterial small subunit ribosomal RNA", at positions 355 to 776 of the family's 1533-position model. The record is from RNAcentral.